This 818-nucleotide ribosomal RNA is filed under the name uncultured bacterium. RNAcentral's name for it is "bacterial SSU rRNA". It matches the Rfam family "Bacterial small subunit ribosomal RNA", at positions 8 to 806 of the family's 1533-position model. The record is from RNAcentral.
AGAGUUUGAUCCUGGCUCAGGACGAACGCUGGCGGCGUGCCUAAUACAUGCAAGUCGAACGAGAGCGACCGGUGCUUUCCCUUGUUCAAUUUAGUGGCGAACGGGUGAGUAACACGGGGGUAACCUUCCCAUCAGAGGGGGAUAACCUUCGGAAACGGAUGCUAAAACCGCAUAGGUUUUCGAACCGCAUGGUUUGAAGAGGAAAAGAGGCGCAAGCUUCUGCUGAUGGAUGGACCCGCGGUGCAUUAGCUAGUUGGUGAGGUAACGGCUCACCAAGGCCGUGAUGCAUAGCCGACCUGAGAGGGUGAUCGGCCACAUUGGGACUGAGACCCGGCCCAAACUCCUACGGGAGGCAGCAGUAGGGAAUUUUCCGCAAUGGACGCAAGUCUGACGGAGCAACGCCGCGUGAGUGAAGAAGGUUUUCGGAUCGUAAAACUCUGUUGUUAGAGAAGAACAAGUGCUAGAGUAACUGUUAGCGCCUUGACGGUAUCUAACCAGAAAGCCACGGCUAACUACGUGCCAGCAGCCGCGGUAAUACGUAGGUGGCAAGCGUUGUCCGGAUUUAUUGGGCGUAAAGCGAGCGCAGGCGGUUCCUUAAGUCUGAUGUGAAAGCCCCCGGCUCAACCGGGGAGGGUCAUUGGAAACUGGGGGACUUGAGUGCAGAAGAGGAGAGUGGAAUUCCAUGUGUAGCGGUGAAAUGCGUAGAUAUAUGGAGGAACACCAGUGGCGAAGGCGACUCUCUGGUCUGUAACUGACGCUGAGGCUCGAAAGCGUGGGUAGCAAACAGGAUUAGAUACCCUGGUAGUCCACGCCGUAAA